AACGAACGCUGGCGGCAUGCCUAACACAUGCAAGUCGAACGAGACCUUCGGGUCUAGUUGCGCACGGGUGCGUAACGCGUGGGAACCUUCCCUUAGGUUCGGAAUAACUCCCCGAAAGGGGCGCUAAUACCGGACAAUGUCUUCUGACCAAUGAUUUAUCGCCUUUGGAUGGGCCCGCAUUGGAUUAGCUAGUUGGUAGGGUAAAAGCCUACCAAGGCGACGAUCCAUAGCUGGUCUGAGAGGAUGAUCAGCCACACUGGGACUGAGACACGGCCCAGACUCCUACGGGAGGCAGCAGUGGGGAAUAUUGGACAAUGGGCGAAAGCAUGAUCCAGCAAUGCCGCGUGAGUGAUGAAGGCCUUAGGGUUGUAAAGCUCUUUUACCCGGGAUGAUAAUGACAGUACCGGGAGAAUAAGCUCCGGCUAACUCCGUG
Molecule: ribosomal RNA, 433 nt
Filed under: uncultured bacterium
Lineage: Bacteria
Description: partial 16S ribosomal RNA
Rfam family: Bacterial small subunit ribosomal RNA
Source: RNAcentral